UCCCUGGCAGUCCAAUGGACAGGACUCUGUGCUUCCACUGUAGGGACCCAGGUUCAACCCCUGGUUAGGGAA
Bos taurus (domestic cattle) is the source of this 72-nucleotide non-coding RNA. Lineage: Eukaryota; Metazoa; Chordata; Mammalia; Artiodactyla; Bovidae. The record is from Rfam.